GAUGAAGAACGUAGCGAAAUGCGAUAAGUAGUGUGAAUUGCAGAAUUCAGUGAAUCAUCGAAUCUUUGAACGCACAUUGCGCCCCUUGGUAUUCCAUGGGGCAUGCCUGUUCGAGCGUCAUUUGUACCUUCAAGCUUUGCUUGGUGUUGGGUGUUUGUCUCGCCGUUGCGUGUAGACUCGCCUUAAAAUAAUUGGCAGCCGGCGUAUUGAUUUCGGAGCGCAGUACAUCUCGCGCUUUGCACUCAUAACGACAGCGUCCAAAAGUACAUUUUACACUCUUGACCUCGGAUCAGGUAGGGAUACCCGCUGAACUUAAGCAUAUCAAUAAGCGGAGGA
This 336-nucleotide unclassified non-coding RNA is filed under the name soil metagenome. RNAcentral describes it as "partial contains 5.8S ribosomal RNA, internal transcribed spacer 2, and large subunit ribosomal RNA". The stretch from base 1 to 120 matches the Rfam family "5.8S ribosomal RNA", at positions 35 to 154 of the family's 154-position model. The record is from RNAcentral.